Molecule: long non-coding RNA, 285 nt
Organism: Pollicipes pollicipes
Lineage: Eukaryota; Metazoa; Arthropoda; Thecostraca; Pollicipedomorpha; Pollicipedidae
Exons: 3
Source: RefSeq, a predicted model, not a curated record
GCCACGAGCGCUCACAGUCGGACACGCUGCCGGUGGACCUCAGCUCGGAGAGCAGCAGCGUCACCAGCAUGCCGCUCCGCAAGACGCACACCAGCGCGAGUUCAGUGGCAUCUGGCGACGGCCCGGGCAACGCGAGUUACGGCGCCCACCAUUACGAGGCGCCACGGUACGACGCGGCCGGCCCCAGCGGCUUGGAGCUGUUCACCAACUCGCCGAUGCGGCACUACAUGUACCUGCCCAAGCCUAACGCAGCCGGACCCCUCCGACCGCCGCCGCCGCCGCCGG